Molecule: ribosomal RNA, 464 nt
Filed under: uncultured bacterium
Lineage: Bacteria
Description: partial 16S ribosomal RNA
Rfam family: Bacterial small subunit ribosomal RNA
Source: RNAcentral
CUACGGGGGGCUCCAGUGGGGAAUAUUGCACAAUGGGCGCAAGCCUGAUGCAGCCAUGCCGCGUGUAUGAAGAAGGCCUUCGGGUUGUAAAGUACUUUCAGCGGGGAGGAAGGGAGUAAAGUUAAUACCUUUGCUCAUUGACGUUACCCGCAGAAGAAGCACCGGCUAACGCCGUGCCAGCAGCCGCGGUAAUACGGAGGGUGCAAGCGUUAAUCGGAAUUACUGGGCGUAAAGCGCACGCAGGCGGUUUGUUAAGUCAGAUGUGAAAUCCCCGGGCUCAACCUGGGAACUGCAUCUGAUACUGGCAAGCUUGAGUCUCGUAGAGGGGGGUAGAAUUCCAGGUGUAGCGGUGAAAUGCAUAGAGAUCUGGAGGAAUACCGGUGGCGAAGGCGGCCCCCUGGACGAAGACUGACGCUCAGGUGCGAAAGCGUGGGGAGCAAACAGGAUUAGAUACCCUAGUAGUC